AAUUGGAGUGCAAAGCUGCGUUUCAUGAUGUUUUGGGGACAUGCUUGAUGCGUUUUAGCCAUGAGAAAAGGGGUGGAAAACACCAAGGUGGGUUGGCACGUGAGGGUGAAUUAAAUCAAUAAGUUUUCUCAUUUGAAACAUUCCUUCUUUUUCCAAAUGCAUGGGAGCAAGAAUGUGCAUGGAAAUCACUUGGUUUGGGCCAUUUGAGGAAAGGUCAGAAUGGGUGGUGUGUAUGGAAAUGCA
Molecule: long non-coding RNA, 243 nt
Filed under: Lathyrus oleraceus (garden pea)
Lineage: Eukaryota; Viridiplantae; Streptophyta; Magnoliopsida; Fabales; Fabaceae
Description: Pisum sativum (pea) long non-coding RNA (PSAT_LNC038446)
Source: RNAcentral